UAAAACGUAGGGGACGAGCGUUAUCCGGAUUUACUGGGCGUAAAGCGCAUGUAGGUGGCUUGAAAAGUUGGACGUGAAAGCUCCUGGCUUAACUGGGAGAGGUCGUACAAAACUAGCAAGCUUGAGGUUGGAAGAGGAGAGCAGAAUUCCCGGUGUAGUGGUGGAAUGCGUAGAUAUCGGGAGGAAUACCAGUGGCGAAAGCGGCUCUCUGGUUCAAUACUGACACUGAGAUGCGAAAGCGUGGGGAGCGAACGGGAUUAGAUACCCCGGUAGUCCACGCUGUAAACGAUGGAUACUAGGUGUAGGAGGUCAUUAACCCCUUCUGUGCCGAAGCUAACGCGUUAAGUAUCCCGCCUGGGGACUACGACCGCAAGGUUA
This 378-nucleotide ribosomal RNA is filed under the name uncultured bacterium. RNAcentral's name for it is "bacterial SSU rRNA". It matches the Rfam family "Bacterial small subunit ribosomal RNA", at positions 521 to 896 of the family's 1533-position model. The record is from RNAcentral.